AGAAUCAACGCUGGCGGCGUGCCUAACACAUGCAAGUCGAGCGCGAAAGGGGAGCAAUCCCCGAGUAGAGCGGCGAACGGGUGAGUAACGCGUGGGUAAUCUACCUCCGAGUGGGGAAUAACAGCGGGAAACUGCUGCUAAUACCGCAUGACAUCGUCGAGCCUUCGGGCCUGACGAUCAAAGCCGGGGACCGCAAGGCCUGGCGCUUGGAGACGAGCCCGCGUCCGAUUAGCUAGUUGGCGGGGUAAUGGCCCACCAAGGCUCCGAUCGGUAG
RNAcentral lists this ribosomal RNA (274 nucleotides) under uncultured soil bacterium. RNAcentral's name for it is "partial 16S ribosomal RNA". It matches the Rfam family "Bacterial small subunit ribosomal RNA", at positions 26 to 286 of the family's 1533-position model. The record is from RNAcentral.